AAUACCAAAGAUGAGGUUGAGGUGAGGGCGACAGUACGCCGGUUGAUGACGAUUCCCUGCGGACCACAGGUGGUCGGAGCAGUGAUGUGGUUUCGACCGGCGGC
This 104-nucleotide small nucleolar RNA is filed under the name Leersia perrieri. RNAcentral's name for it is "Small nucleolar RNA Z206". It matches the Rfam family "Small nucleolar RNA Z206". Rfam says of the family: Z206 is a member of the C/D class of snoRNA which contain the C (UGAUGA) and D (CUGA) box motifs. Most of the members of the box C/D family function in directing site-specific 2'-O-methylation of substrate RNAs. The record is from Rfam by way of RNAcentral. Lineage: Eukaryota; Viridiplantae; Streptophyta; Magnoliopsida; Poales; Poaceae.